UGGGGAAUCUUGGACAAUGGGCGAAAGCCUGAUCCAGCCAUGCCGCGUGAGUGACGAAGGUCUUCGGAUUGUAAAGCUCUUUUGGCGGGGACGAUAAUGACGGUACCCGCAGAAUAAGCCCCGGCUAACUUCGUGCCAGCAGCCGCGGUAAUACGAAGGGGGCUAGCGUUGUUCGGAAUUACUGGGCGUAAAGCGCACGUAGGCGGAUUUGUAAGUCAGGGGUGAAAUCCCGGGGCUCAACCUCGGAACUGCCCUUGAUACUGCAAAUCUCGAGUCCGAUAGAGGUGAGUGGAAUUCCUAGUGUAGAGGUGAAAUUCGUAGAUAUUAGGAAGAACACCGGUGGCGAAGGCGGCCCACUGGAUCGGUACUGACGCUGAGGUGCGAAAGCGUGGGGAGCAAACAGGAUUAGAUACCCAUGUAGUCCCUGAGCGGGCUGGCAAGGCGCAU
This 447-nucleotide ribosomal RNA is filed under the name uncultured bacterium. Its description in RNAcentral is "bacterial SSU rRNA". It matches the Rfam family "Bacterial small subunit ribosomal RNA", at positions 355 to 825 of the family's 1533-position model. The record is from RNAcentral.